GAAUGGUGAAACCUGAUGGCUCAACCAUCAGACUAUUAUUCGAACUCAUCUGCUCGAGAGUGAGAGAGGUACCUGGAAUUUCUAGUGUAGGAGUGAAAUCCGUAGAUAUUAGAAGGAACACCAAUGGCGUAAGCAGGGUACUGGCUCAUUUCUGACGCUAAGGCACGAAAGCGUGGGGAGCGAACCGGAUUAGAUACCCGGGUAGUCCACGCCGUAAACGAUGGAUACUAGCUGUUGGAGGUAUCGACCCCUCCAGUAGCGAAGCUAACGCGUUAAGUAUCCCGCCUGUGGAGUACGGUCGCAAGACUAAAACAUAAAGGAAUUGACGGGGACCCGCACAAGCGGUGGAUCGUGUUCUUUAAUUCGAUGCUAAACGAAGAACCUUACCAGGGUUUGACAUCCUAGGAAUUACUCCGAAAGGAGUGAGUGCCGCAAGGAACCUAGUGACAGGUGAUGCAUGGCCGUCGUCAGCUCGUGUCGUGAGAUGUUUGGUUAAGUCCAUCAACGAGCGCAACCCUUGCAAGUAGUUGGAUUUUUCUACUUGGACUGCCCCCGGCAACGGGGAGGAAGGAGGGGAUGAUGUCAGGUCA
Molecule: ribosomal RNA, 590 nt
Filed under: uncultured bacterium
Lineage: Bacteria
Description: bacterial SSU rRNA
Rfam family: Bacterial small subunit ribosomal RNA
Source: RNAcentral